GUGCCAGCAGCCGCGGUAAUACGUAGGGUGCGAGCGUUAAUCGGAAUUACUGGGCGUAAAGCGUGCGCAGGCGGCUUUGCAAGACAGAGGUGAAAUCCCCGGGCUCAACCUGGGAACUGCCUUUGUGACUGCAAGGCUAGAGUACGGCAGAGGGGGAUGGAAUUCCGCGUGUAGCAGUGAAAUGCGUAGAUAUGCGGAGGAACACCGAUGGCGAAGGCAAUCCCCUGGGCCUGUACUGACGCUCAUGCACGAAAGCGUGGGGAGCAAACAG
RNAcentral lists this ribosomal RNA (271 nucleotides) under uncultured Burkholderiales bacterium. Its description in RNAcentral is "partial 16S ribosomal RNA". It matches the Rfam family "Bacterial small subunit ribosomal RNA", at positions 505 to 775 of the family's 1533-position model. The record is from RNAcentral. Lineage: Bacteria; Pseudomonadati; Pseudomonadota; Betaproteobacteria; Burkholderiales.